GCCGCUCUAGCCCAACUGGCAGAGGCGCUGCGCCCAGAGCGCAGAGGUUCCGGGUCCGAAUCCCGGGGGCGGCACGA
This 77-nucleotide transfer RNA is filed under the name Actinomycetota bacterium. RNAcentral's name for it is "Actinobacteria bacterium (soil metagenome) tRNA-Leu". Lineage: Bacteria; Bacillati; Actinomycetota. The record is from RNAcentral.